Long non-coding RNA from Syngnathoides biaculeatus (alligator pipefish), 958 nucleotides. RefSeq lists it as uncharacterized. The transcript is spliced from 6 exons. NCBI's taxonomy places the organism in Eukaryota, Metazoa, Chordata, Actinopteri, Syngnathiformes, Syngnathidae. The record is from RefSeq and is a predicted model, not a curated record.
CUGGUGGUCGUGUGAACUUCAUACAUCUCUGGUCCAGCUGAGGAAGCAGAGAUGAGGAACAUCCCUCGCUCCUCAUUGGCUACUUCUCUCACGAUGAGCUUCUGCAGUGGGAUCACGGGAGGUUUCUGGUCCUGAAAGACUGGGUACUUGGUGAUGCGCUGAGUGACCAAAAGGAUAAACUCUGGUAUCCCUCUUCUCCUGACCACCUCAGACUGGCAUUGCACUAGCGUGAAAGAAGGAGAGACAAAGGCAGCCUGCAGCCUACUGUAGCACACAGCCCUUAUGAGUUUCUAAGAAGGACGUCAACAAGUGGAAAUUGGCAGGGGGCAACACAGUUGACAACUUGCUUAGCACAUCUGCCCCAUGUCUGAGAACCCGGGUUCAAAUCCAGCCGCUCUGUGUAGAGUUUGCAUGUUUUCCUUGAGGGGGUUGUCGCCAAGUACUCCAGUUUCCUCCCACAUCCCCAAAACAUACAAGGUUGGAACAGCUGGCGGAAGGUCUCUGGUGUGUUAUGUGACAGAAGAGUCUCUGCUAAGACGAAGGGCAAAGUUUAUAAAACGUUGGAGAGGCCCGCCAUGAUGUACAGAUUAGAGACGGUGGCACUGAAGAAACAACAGGAAGCACAACUGGAGUAAUCUUCAACUGGGAGAGGAACUGAAGAGCCCGAAGUCUAUUUUUUGAAGAAUUGUUCAUUCUUUGCCAAAUUGUAGCAUGUCAUGAAGCAAGUUGCGUUCAUUGCCACUAUACACUGUUUUGAGGGGAAAUAUGAGUUACUGACUUCAUUACAAGUACAAAGAAGCAAUGUGAAUCAUGGGAACAAAGUUAGUGAAACAAAACAUUUUGGUCACUGCCAAAACGUUUGGCCACAACUGUACGCUCCAUGUGUUUGGAUGAAGACCCAAACAGCAACUGCAUUUCAAAGAGCAAACGAAAAUGAUUAUUUUUGCUCAUUGUUAUU